This 489-nucleotide ribosomal RNA is filed under the name Treponema denticola. RNAcentral's name for it is "bacterial SSU rRNA". It matches the Rfam family "Bacterial small subunit ribosomal RNA", at positions 29 to 504 of the family's 1533-position model. Lineage: Bacteria; Pseudomonadati; Spirochaetota; Spirochaetia; Treponematales; Treponemataceae. The record is from RNAcentral.
AACGAACGCUGGCGGCGCGUCUUAAGCAUGCAAGUCGAACGGUAAGGGAGAGCUUGCUCUCCCCUAGAGUGGCGGACUGGUGAGUAACGCGUGGGUGACCUGCCCUGAAGAUGGGGAUAGCUAGUAGAAAUAUUAGAUAAUACCGAAUGUGCUCAUUUACAUAAAGGUAAAUGAGGAAAGGAGCUACGGCUCCGCUUCAGGAUGGGCCCGCGUCCCAUUAGCUGGUUGGUGAGGUAAAGGCCCACCAAGGCAACGAUGGGUAUCCGGCCUGAGAGGGUGAACGGACACAUUGGGACUGAGAUACGGCCCAAACUCCUACGGGAGGCAGCAGCUAAGAAUCUUCCGCAAUGGACGAAAGUCUGACGGAGCGACGCCGUGUGAAUGAAGAAGGCCGAAAGGUUGUAAAAUUCUUUUGCAGAUGAAGAAUAAGAAGAAGAGGGAAUGCUUCUUUGAUGACGGUAGUCAUGCGAAUAAGCCCCGGCUAAUUAC